GCGUAAUUGGUUUAGUGGUAAAAUUCUCCGUUGCCAAGCAAGUAUCGGGGAGCCCUGGGUUCGAUUCCCAGAUUACGCA
RNAcentral lists this transfer RNA (79 nucleotides) under Fusarium culmorum. It matches the Rfam family "tRNA". Rfam says of the family: Transfer RNA (tRNA) molecules are approximately 80 nucleotides in length. Their secondary structure includes four short double-helical elements and three loops (D, anti-codon, and T loops). RNAcentral also lists the same sequence under 9 other names. The record is from Rfam by way of RNAcentral. Lineage: Eukaryota; Fungi; Ascomycota; Sordariomycetes; Hypocreales; Nectriaceae.